UACAGAGGGUGCGAGCGUUGUCCGGAAUCACUGGGCGUAAAGGGCGCGUAGGUGGCGCUGCAAGUCGGUGGUGAAAGCUCGAUGCUUAACAUCGAGUCGGCCAUCGAAACUGCAGGGCUCGAGCACUGUAGGGGCAGAUGGAAUUCCGGGUGUAGCGGUGGAAUGCGUAGAGAUCCGGAAGAACACCAGUGGCGAAGGCGGUCUGCUGGGCAGUAGCUGACACUGAUGCGCGACAGCGUGGGGAGCAAACAGG
This 253-nucleotide ribosomal RNA is filed under the name uncultured bacterium. RNAcentral's name for it is "partial 16S ribosomal RNA". It matches the Rfam family "Bacterial small subunit ribosomal RNA", at positions 524 to 776 of the family's 1533-position model. The record is from RNAcentral.